CUAGCAUAUCAAUAAGCGGAGGAAAAGAAACCAACCGGGAUUGCCCUAGUAACGGCGAGUGAAGCGGCAAGAGCUCAAAUUUGAAAGCUGGCUCCUUCGGGGUCCGCAUUGUAAUUUGCAGAGGAUGCUUCGGGAGCGGUCCCCAUCUAAGUGCCCUGGAACGGGCCGUCAUAGAGGGUGAGAAUCCCGUAUGGGAUGGGGUGCCCGCGCCCGUGUGAAGCUCCUUCGACGAGUCGAGUUGUUUGGGAAUGCAGCUCUAAUUGGGUGGUAAAUUUCAUCUAAAGCUAAAUAUUGGCCGGAGACCGAUAGCGCACAAGUAGAGUGAUCGAAAGAUGAAAAGCACUUUGAAAAGAGAGUUAAACAGCACGUGAAAUUGUUGAAAGGGAAGCGCUUGCGAUCAGACUCGCUCGCGGGGUUCAGCCGGCCUUCGGGCCGGUGUACUUCCCCGCGGGCGGGCCAGCGUCGGUUUGGGCGGCCGGUCAAAGGCCCCUGGAAUGUAACGCCUCUCGGGGCGUCUUAUAGCCAGGGGUGCCAUGCGGCCUGCCCGGACCGAGGAACGCGCUUCGGCUCGGACGCUGGCAUAAUGGUCGUAAGCGACCCGUCUUGAAACACGGACCAAGGAGUCUAACAUCUACGCGAGUGUUCGGGUGUCAAACCCGUGCGCGCAGUGAAAGCGAACGGAGGUGGGAACCCCUCGGGGUGCACCAUCGACCGAUCCUGAUGUCUUCGGAUGGAUUUGAGUAAGAGCGUAGCUGUUGGGACCCGAAAGAUGGUGAACUAUGCCUGAAUAGGGCGAAGCCAGAGGAAACUCUGGUGGAGGCUCGCAGCGGUUCUGACGUGCAAAUCGAUCGUCAAAUUUGGGUAUAGGGGCGAAAGACUAAUCGAACCAUCUAGUAGCUGGUCUGC
This 906-nucleotide ribosomal RNA is filed under the name Penicillium cosmopolitanum. RNAcentral describes it as "LSU rRNA". It matches the Rfam family "Eukaryotic large subunit ribosomal RNA", at positions 34 to 959 of the family's 3401-position model. The record is from RNAcentral. Lineage: Eukaryota; Fungi; Ascomycota; Eurotiomycetes; Eurotiales; Aspergillaceae.